This 468-nucleotide ribosomal RNA is filed under the name uncultured bacterium. Its description in RNAcentral is "partial 16S ribosomal RNA". It matches the Rfam family "Bacterial small subunit ribosomal RNA", at positions 28 to 507 of the family's 1533-position model. The record is from RNAcentral.
GACGAACGCUGGCGGCGUGCUUAACACAUGCAAGUCGAACGGAAAGGCCCUGCUUUUGUGGGGUGCUCGAGUGGCGAACGGGUGAGUAACACGUGAGUAACCUGCCCUUGACUUUGGGAUAACUUCAGGAAACUGGGGCUAAUACCGGAUAGGAGCUCCUGCUGCAUGGUGGGGGUUGGAAAGUUUCGGCGGUUGGGGAUGGACUCGCGGCUUAUCAGCUUGUUGGUGGGGUAGUGGCUUACCAAGGCUUUGACGGGUAGCCGGCCUGAGAGGGUGACCGGCCACAUUGGGACUGAGAUACGGCCCAGACUCCUCCGGGAGGCAGCAGUGGGGAAUAUUGCACGAUGGGCGGAAGCCUGAUGCAGCAACGCCGCGUGCGGGAUGACGGCCUUCGGGUUGUAAACCGCUUUCGCCUGUGACGAAGCGUGAGUGACGGUAAUGGGUAAAGAAGCACCGGCUAACUACGUG